Molecule: unclassified non-coding RNA, 324 nt
Filed under: soil metagenome
Description: partial contains 5.8S ribosomal RNA, internal transcribed spacer 2, and large subunit ribosomal RNA
Rfam family: 5.8S ribosomal RNA (bases 1-120)
Source: RNAcentral
GAUGAAGAACGCAGCGAAAUGCGAUAAGUAAUGCGAAUUGCAGAAUUCAGUGAGUCAUCGAAUCUUUGAACGCACAUUGCGCCCUGUGGUAUUCCGCAGGGCAUGCCUGUUCGAGCGUCAUUUCAACCCUCAAGCCUCGCUUGGUGUUGGGCCCUGCCCGCCGCGGCCGGCCCUAAAGAUAGUGGCGGCGCCGCCUGGCCCUCAGCGUAGUACAGCUCUCGCUCCAGGGUCCGGCGGCAGCCUGCCAGAACCCCCCCACUCUGUGGUUGACCUCGGAUCAGGUAGGGAUACCCGCUGAACUUAAGCAUAUCAAUAAGCGGAGGA